RNAcentral lists this ribosomal RNA (375 nucleotides) under Terrabacter lapilli. Its description in RNAcentral is "bacterial SSU rRNA". It matches the Rfam family "Bacterial small subunit ribosomal RNA", at positions 1112 to 1483 of the family's 1533-position model. Lineage: Bacteria; Bacillati; Actinomycetota; Actinomycetes; Micrococcales; Intrasporangiaceae. The record is from RNAcentral.
AUGUUGCCAGCACGUGAUGGUGGGGACUUAUAGAGACUGCCGGUGUCANCUCGGAGGAAGGUGGGGAUGACGUCAAAUCAUCAUGCCCCUUAUGUCUUGUGCUUCACGCAUGCUACAAUGGCCGGUACAAAGGGCUUGCGAUACCGCGAGGUGGACCGAAUCCCAAAAAACCGGUCUCAGUUCGGAUUGGGGUCUGCAACUCGACCCCAUGAAGUCGGAGUCGCUAGUAAUCGCAGAUCAGCAACGCUGCGGUGGAAUACGUUCCCGGGCCUUGUACACACCGCCCGUCAAGUCACGAAAGUCGGUAACACCCGAAGCCGGUGGCCCAACCCUUGUGGGGGGAGCCGUCGAAGGUGGGACUGGCGAUUGGGACUU